Non-coding RNA from Myotis brandtii (Brandt's bat), 75 nucleotides. The record is from Rfam. NCBI's taxonomy places the organism in Eukaryota, Metazoa, Chordata, Mammalia, Chiroptera, Vespertilionidae.
GGUGGUUCUCAGGUGACACACCCCAGAAUCGGACUCCCUUCGCUCUGGUUCCAGCUGUGUCACCCAAGAACUGCA